Molecule: ribosomal RNA, 348 nt
Filed under: Oidium heveae
Lineage: Eukaryota; Fungi; Ascomycota; Leotiomycetes; Helotiales; Erysiphaceae
Description: SSU rRNA
Rfam family: Eukaryotic small subunit ribosomal RNA
Source: RNAcentral
GUAGUCAUAUGCUUGUCUCAAAGAUUAAGCCAUGCAUGUCUAAGUAUAAGCAAAUUUAUACCGUGAAACUGCGAAUGGCUCAUUAAAUCAGUUAUCGUUUAUUUGAUAGUACCUUACUACUUGGAUAACCGUGGUAAUUCUAGAGCUAAUACAUGCUAAAAGCCCCGACUUCGGAAGGGGUGUACUUAUUAGAUUAAAAACCAAUGCCCUUCGGGGCUCUUUGGUGAUUCAUAAUAACUUAACGAAUCGCAUGGCCUUGUGCCGGCGAUGGUUCAUUCAAAUUUCUGCCCUAUCAACUUUCGAUGGUAGUAUAUGGGACUACCAUGGUUUCAACGGGUAACGGGGAAU